RNAcentral lists this ribosomal RNA (394 nucleotides) under uncultured bacterium. Its description in RNAcentral is "partial 16S ribosomal RNA". It matches the Rfam family "Bacterial small subunit ribosomal RNA", at positions 523 to 918 of the family's 1533-position model. The record is from RNAcentral.
AUACGUAGGGAGCGAGCGUUGUCCGGAAUUACUGGGCGUAAAGGGCGCGUAGGCGGCGCUUCAAGUCGUCUGUCAAAUGGGAGGGCUUAACCCUUUUUCGCAGACGAAACUGGAGAGCUUGAGAAGCAGAGAGGCAAACAGAAUUCCUGGUGUAGCGGUGAAAUGCGUAGAUAACAGGAAGAAUACCAGUGGCGAAGGCGGUUUGCUGGCUGCAUACUGACUCUGAAGCGCGAAAGCCAGGGGAGCAAACGGGAGUAUAUACCCCGGUAGGCCUGGCAGUAAACGAUGUAUGCUGGGUGUGAGACUAGCGAUAGUUUCGUGCCGAAGUUAACGCGAUAAGCAUACCGCCUGGGGAGUACGGUCGCAAGAUUGAAACUCAAAUGAAUUGGCGGGG